Molecule: ribosomal RNA, 253 nt
Filed under: uncultured bacterium
Lineage: Bacteria
Description: partial 16S ribosomal RNA
Rfam family: Bacterial small subunit ribosomal RNA
Source: RNAcentral
UACGUAGGGUGCAAGCGUUGUCCGGAAUUAUUGGGCGUAAAGAGCUCGUAGGCGGUUUGUCGCGUCUGCUGUGAAAACUCGGGGCUCAACCCCGAGCUUGCAGUGGGUACGGGCAGACUAGAGUGCGGUAGGGGAGACUGGAAUUCCUGGUGUAGCGGUGGAAUGCGCAGAUAUCAGGAGGAACACCGGUGGCGAAGGCGGUUCUCUGGGCCUUACCUGACGCUGAGGAGCGAAAGCGUGGGGAGCAAACAGG